GACGAACGCUGGCGGCGUGCUUAACACAUGCAAGUCGAGCGGUAAGGCCCCUUUGGGGGUACACGAGCGGCGAACGGGUGAGUAACACGUGGGUGACCUGCCCUCAGCUCUGGGAUAAGCCUGGGAAACUGGGUCUAAUACCGGAUAUGACUCCAUGACGCAUGUUGUGGGGUGGAAAGCCUUGUGCGGCUGGGGAUGGGCCCGCGGCCUAUCAGCUUGUUGGUGGGGUGAUGGCCUACCAAGGCGACGACGGGUAGCCGGCCUGAGAGGGCGACCGGCCACACUGGGACUGAGACACGGCCCAGACUCCUACGGGAGGGCAGCAGUGGGGAAUCUUGCGCAAUGGGCGAAAGCCUGACGCAGCGACGCCGCGUGAGGGAUGACGGCCUCGGUGUAACU
Molecule: ribosomal RNA, 399 nt
Filed under: uncultured bacterium
Lineage: Bacteria
Description: bacterial SSU rRNA
Rfam family: Bacterial small subunit ribosomal RNA
Source: RNAcentral